This 274-nucleotide ribosomal RNA is filed under the name uncultured bacterium. Its description in RNAcentral is "partial 16S ribosomal RNA". It matches the Rfam family "Bacterial small subunit ribosomal RNA", at positions 523 to 796 of the family's 1533-position model. The record is from RNAcentral.
AUACGGAGGGUGCGAGCGUUAAUCGGAAUUACUGGGCGUAAAGCGCGCGUAGGCGGUUGGGUAAGUCGGAUGUGAAAGCCCCGGGCUUAACCUGGGAAUUGCAUUCGAUACUGCCCGGCUAGAGUAUGGUAGAGGGAAGCGGAAUUCCGGGUGUAGCGGUGAAAUGCGUAGAUAUCCGGAGGAACACCAGUGGCGAAGGCGGCUUCCUGGACCAAUACUGACGCUGAGGAGCGAAAGCGUGGGGAGCAAACAGGAUUAGAAACCCUAGUAGUCC